RNAcentral lists this ribosomal RNA (464 nucleotides) under uncultured bacterium. RNAcentral describes it as "bacterial SSU rRNA". It matches the Rfam family "Bacterial small subunit ribosomal RNA", at positions 28 to 507 of the family's 1533-position model. The record is from RNAcentral.
GACGAACGCUGGCGGCGUGCAUAACACAUUCAAGUCGAACGGAGAAGAGUGCUUCGGUAUUCUUCUUAGUGGCGGACGGGUGAGUAACGCGUGAGUAAUCUACCUUCCAGUGCGGAAUAACAACCGGAACAGUUGCUAAUACCGCAUGAAAUGGCAGCAUCGCAUGGUGCAACCAUCAAAGAUUUAUCGCUGGAAGAUGAGCUUGCGUCCGAUUAGAUAGUUGGCGGAGUAACAGCCCACCAAGUCGACGAUCGGUAGCCGGACUGAGAGGUUGAACGGCCACAUUGGAACUGAGAUACGGUCCAGACUCCUACGGGAGGCAGCAGUGGGGAAUAUUGGGCAAUGGGCGAAAGCCUGACCCAGCGACGCCGCGUGAGGGAAGAAGAUCUUCGGAUUGUAAACCUUAGUCAACAGGGAAGAAGAAAGUGACGGUACCUGUGGAGGAAGCCACGGCUAACUACGUG